Molecule: ribosomal RNA, 630 nt
Filed under: uncultured Granulibacter sp.
Lineage: Bacteria; Pseudomonadati; Pseudomonadota; Alphaproteobacteria; Acetobacterales; Acetobacteraceae
Description: bacterial SSU rRNA
Rfam family: Bacterial small subunit ribosomal RNA
Source: RNAcentral
AGUCGCACGGGUGGGGCAACCCAUCAGUGGCGGACGGGUGAGUAACGCGUGGGGAUCUGUCUCCGGGUGGGGGAUAACGGCGGGAAACUGUCGCUAAUACCGCAUGACACCUGAGGGUCAAAGCAGCAAUGCGCCUGGAGAGGAACCCGCGUCCGAUUAGCUUGUUGGUGAGGUAAAGGCUCACCAAGGCUCCGAUCGGUAGCUGGUCUGAGAGGAUGAUCAGCCACACUGGGACUGAGACACGGCCCAGACUCCUACGGGAGGCAGCAGUGGGGAAUAUUGGACAAUGGGCGCAAGCCUGAUCCAGCAAUGCCGCGUGAGUGAAGAAGGUCUUCGGAUUGUAAAGCUCUUUCGGCGGGGACGAUGAUGACGGUACCCGCAGAAGAAGCCCCGGCUAACUUCGUGCCAGCAGCCGCGGUAAUACGAAGGGGGCUAGCGUUGCUCGGAAUGACUGGGCGUAAAGGGCGCGUAGGCGGUUCGUACAGUCGGAUGUGAAAUUCCCGGGCUCAACCUGGGGGCUGCAUUCGAUACGUGCGGGCUUGAGUCCGGAAGAGGGUGGUGGAAUUCCCAGUGUAGAGGUGAAAUUCGUAGAUAUUGGGAAGAACACCGGUGGCGAAGGCGGCCACCUGG